CGGGACGUGGCGCAGCUCGGUAGCGCACUUGACUGGGGGUCAAGGGGCCGGAGGUUCAAAUCCUCUCGUUCCGA
This 74-nucleotide transfer RNA is filed under the name Fidelibacterota bacterium. Its description in RNAcentral is "tRNA-Pro". It matches the Rfam family "tRNA". From Rfam's summary of the family: Transfer RNA (tRNA) molecules are approximately 80 nucleotides in length. Their secondary structure includes four short double-helical elements and three loops (D, anti-codon, and T loops). Further hydrogen bonds mediate the characteristic L-shaped molecular structure. tRNAs have two regions of fundamental functional importance: the anti-codon, which is responsible for specific mRNA codon recognition, and the 3' end, to which the tRNAs corresponding amino acid is attached (by aminoacyl-tRNA synthetases). tRNAs cope with the degeneracy of the genetic code in two manners: having more than one tRNA (with a specific anti-codon) for a particular amino acid; and 'wobble' base-pairing, i.e. permitting non-standard base-pairing at the 3rd anti-codon position. RNAcentral also lists the same sequence under 1 other name. The record is from RNAcentral. Lineage: Bacteria; Pseudomonadati; Fidelibacterota.